AAACUUGAGAGUUUGAUCCUGGCUCAGAACGAACGCUGGCGGCAGGUCUUAGGCAUGCAAGUCGAACGGGUGAAACAGGGCUUGCCCUGUGGAUCUAGUGGCGCACGAGUGAGUAACGCGUGGGAAACUGCCCAUUACUGGGGAAUAACGUUUGGAAACGAACGCUAAUACCGCAUACGCCGGAAACGGGAAAGAUUUAUCGGUGAUGGAUGUGCCCGCGUUGGAUUAGCUUGUUGGUGGGGUAACGGCCUACCAAGGCAAUGAUCCAUAGCUGGUCUGAGAGG
Molecule: ribosomal RNA, 284 nt
Filed under: Candidatus Enterousia intestinigallinarum
Lineage: Bacteria; Pseudomonadati; Pseudomonadota; Alphaproteobacteria
Description: partial 16S ribosomal RNA
Rfam family: Bacterial small subunit ribosomal RNA
Source: RNAcentral